CGAACGCUGGCGGCGUGCUUAACACAUGCAAGUCGAACGGAAAGGCCCUGCUUUUGUGGGGUGCUCGAGUGGCGAACGGGUGAGUAACACGUGAGUAACCUGCCCUUGACUUUGGGAUAACUUCAGGAAACUGGGGCUAAUACCGGAUAGGAGCUCCUGCUGCAUGGUGGGGGUUGGAAAGUUUCGGCGGUUGGGGAUGGACUCGCGGCUUAUCAGCUUGUUGGUGGGGUAGUGGCUUACCAAGGCUUUGACGGGUAGCCGGCCUGAGAGGGUGACCGGCCACAUUGGGACUGAGAUACGGCCCAGACUCCUACGGGAGGCAGCAGUGGGGAAUAUUGCACAAUGGGCGGAAGCCUGAUGCAGCAACGCCGCGUGCGGGAUGACGGCCUUCGGGUUGUAAACCGCUUUCGCCUGUGACGAAGCGUGAGUGACGGUAAUGGGUAAAGAAGCACCGGCUAACUACGUGCCAGCAGCCGCGGUGAUACGUAGGGUGCGAGCGUUGUCCGGAUUUAUUGGGCGUAAAGGGCUCGUAGGUGGUUGAUCGCGUCGGAAGUGUAAUCUUGGGGCUUAACCCUGAGCGUGCUUUCGAUACGGGUUGACUUGAGGAAGGUAGGGGAGAAUGGAAUUCCUGGUGGAGCGGUGGAAUGCGCAGAUAUCAGGAGGAACACCAGUGGCGAAGGCGGUUCUCUGGGCCUUUCCUGACGCUGAGGAGCGAAAGCGUGGGGAGCGAACAGGCUUAGAUACCCUGGUAGUCCACGCUGUAAACGGUGGGUACUAGGUGUGGGGUCCAUUCCACGGGUUCCGUGCCGUAGCUAACGCUUUAAGUACCCCGCCUGGGGAGUACGGCCGCAAGGCUAAAACUCAAAGGAAUUGACGGGGCCCCGCACAAGCGGCGGAGCAUGCGGAUUAAUUCGAUGCAACGCGUAGAACCUUACCUGGGUUUGACAUGGAUCGGGAGUGCUCAGAGAUGGGUGUGCCUCUUUUGGGGUCGGUUCACAGGUGGUGCAUGGCUGUCGUCAGCUCGUGUCGUGAGAUGUUGGGUUAAGUCCCGCAACGAGCGCAACCCUUGUUCACUGUUGCCAGCACGUUAUGGUGGGGACUCAGUGGAGACCGCCGGGGUCAACUCGGAGGAAGGUGGGGAUGACGUCAAGUCAUCAUGCCCCUUAUGUCCAGGGCUUCACGCAUGCUACAAUGGCUGGUACAGAGAGUGGCGAGCCUGUGAGGGUGAGCGAAUCUCGGAAAGCCGGUCUCAGUUCGGAUUGGGGUCUGCAACUCGACCUCAUGAAGUCGGAGUCGCUAGUAAUCGCAGAUCAGCAACGCUGCGGUGAAUACGUUCCCGGGGCUUGUACACACCGCCCGUCAAGUCAUGAAAGUUGGUAACACCCGAAGCCGGUGGCCUAACCGUUGUGGGGGAGCCGUCGAAGGUGGGACUGGUGAUUAG
Molecule: ribosomal RNA, 1441 nt
Filed under: uncultured organism
Description: partial small subunit ribosomal RNA
Rfam family: Bacterial small subunit ribosomal RNA
Source: RNAcentral